UUACGGCCAUAUCAUGUUGAAACACUGGUUCUUGUAAGAUCAUCGAAGUUAAGCAACAUCAAGUUUGGUCAUUACUUAGAUGGGUGACCACUUAGGAAUACCAGGUACUGUAAG
Molecule: ribosomal RNA, 114 nt
Filed under: Acanthosepion pharaonis
Lineage: Eukaryota; Metazoa; Mollusca; Cephalopoda; Sepiida; Sepiidae
Source: RNAcentral